This 439-nucleotide ribosomal RNA is filed under the name uncultured bacterium. RNAcentral's name for it is "partial 16S ribosomal RNA". It matches the Rfam family "Bacterial small subunit ribosomal RNA", at positions 339 to 795 of the family's 1533-position model. The record is from RNAcentral.
CUACGGGAUGCAGCAGUGGGGAAUCUUAGACAAUGGGCGCAAGCCUGAUCUAGCCAUGCCGCGUGAGUGACGAAGGCCUUAGGGUCGUAAAGCUCUUUCGCUGGGGAAGAUAAUGACGGUACCCAGUAAAGAAACCCCGGCUAACUCCGUGCCAGCAGCCGCGGUAAUACGGAGGGGGUUAGCGUUGUUCGGAAUUACUGGGCGUAAAGCGCGCGUAGGCGGAUCAGAAAGUUGGGGGUGAAAUCCCGGGGCUCAACCCCGGAACUGCCUUCAAAACUCCUGGUCUUGAGUCCGAGAGAGGUGAGUGGAAUUCCGAGUGUAGAGGUGAAAUUCGUAGAUAUUCGGAGGAACACCAGUGGCGAAGGCGGCUCACUGGCUCGAUACUGACGCUGAGGUGCGAAAGCGUGGGGAGCAAACAGGAUUAGAUACCCGCGUAGUC